CUACGGGCUGCUGCAGUGGGGAAUAUUGCACAAUGGAGGAAACUCUGAUGCAGCGACGCCGCGUGAGUGAAGAAGUAUUUCGGUAUGUAAAGCUCUAUCAGCAGGGAAGAUAGUGACGGUACCUGACUAAGAAGCACCGGCUAAAUACGUGCCAGCAGCCGCGGUAAUACGUAUGGUGCAAGCGUUAUCCGGAUUUACUGGGUGUAAAGGGAGUGUAGGUGGCAUGGCAAGUCAGAAGUGAAAGCCCAGGGCUCAACCCUGGGACUGCUUUUGAAACUGCCGAGCUAGAGUGCAGGAGAGGUAAGUGGAAUUCCUAGUGUAGCGGUGAAAUGCGUAGAUAUUAGGAGGAACACCAGCGGCGAAGGCGGCUUACUGGACUGUAACUGACACUGAGGCUCGAAAGCGUGGGGAGCAAACAGGAUUAGAUACCCCGUAGUC
This 438-nucleotide ribosomal RNA is filed under the name uncultured bacterium. RNAcentral's name for it is "partial 16S ribosomal RNA". It matches the Rfam family "Bacterial small subunit ribosomal RNA", at positions 339 to 795 of the family's 1533-position model. The record is from RNAcentral.